Molecule: long non-coding RNA, 327 nt
Organism: Etheostoma spectabile (orangethroat darter)
Lineage: Eukaryota; Metazoa; Chordata; Actinopteri; Perciformes; Percidae
Exons: 3
Source: RefSeq, a predicted model, not a curated record
ACAAUCAAAACAUAACAUAGGCCCUGCCACUGGAAUGGGGUUUUGAGCUAAUGUUGGCAAUCAAACAAUCAGAUAGCUAAAACAUUUUUGAAAUAAUUCCCAUCUUCUGUUAUUGUUUGUAAUAACAGAAGUUUAUUAUUUUGUGGAUUUCACAAAUGUCAGUAUGUCAUGUCAUGCUGUAAACCGUUUAAAUCUGAGCAUGCGCAACUCACAUCUGCACUCGACCAGAACCGGUCUGACUUGACUCUCAUCGGGUAUGACAUGUUAUCCCGUAACCAUUUAAAUCUGAGCAUCCGUGAUGCAAAUCUGCACUCGACUUACAUCAGG